ACUAACAAGGAUUCCCCUAGUAACUGCGAGUGAAGAGGGAAAAGCUCAAAUUUAAAAUCUGACAGUCUAUGGCUGUCCGAGUUGUAAAUUAGAGAAGUGUUAUCUGCUCAAGCCUGUGCAAAAGUCUCUUGGAAAAGGGCAUCAUAGAGGGUGACAAUCCCGUCUUUGGCACAGAUCACUUGCGCUUUUGUGAUGCGCUCUCAAUGAGUCGAGUUGUUUGGGAAUGCAGCUCCAAAUGGGUGGUAAAUUCCAUCUAAAGCUAAAUAUUGGCGAGAAACCGAUAGCGCACAAGUACCGUGAGGGAAAGAUGAAAAGAACUUUGAAAAGAGAGUUAAACAGUACGUGAAAUUGUUGAAAGGGAAACGCUUGGAGUCAGUCGUGUUCUGCAAAAUCAACCUAACCUUUGGUUGGGUGUAUUUUUUGUAGAAUGGGUCAGCAUCAAUUUUGAUUGUUGGAAAAAGGACUUGGGAAUGUGGCAUCUUUGGAUGUGUUAUAGCCCUUGUUUGUAUACAAUGAUUGGGAUUGAGGAACUCAGUGUGACAUUUGUUUGGGGGCAUUGCCUCACAUCAACGCACUUAGGAUGCUGGCAUAAUGGCUUUAAUCGACCCGUCUUGAAACACGGACCAAGGAGUCUAACAUGCAUGCAAGUGUUUGGGUGGAAAACUCAAGCGCGUAAUGAAAGUGAAAGUUGAGAACCCUGUCGUGGGGUGCAUCGACGCCCGGUCUUGACCUUUUGUGACGGACCUGCGGUAGAGCAUGUAUGUUGGGACCCGAAGAUGGUGAACUAUGCCUGAUAGGUGAAGCCAGAGGAAACUCUGGUGGAGCUCGUAGCGAUCUGACGUGCAAUCGAUCGUCGAUUUGGUAUAGGGGCGAAAGACUAUCGACAUCUAGUAGCUGUCUGC
This 902-nucleotide ribosomal RNA is filed under the name Hodophilus variabilipes. RNAcentral describes it as "LSU rRNA". It matches the Rfam family "Eukaryotic large subunit ribosomal RNA", at positions 64 to 958 of the family's 3401-position model. Lineage: Eukaryota; Fungi; Basidiomycota; Agaricomycetes; Agaricales; Clavariaceae. The record is from RNAcentral.